UGCAGCCCUGGGGGAACCUAGGAGGGGCCGCUGUCGCGUGCCGGCCUAGCGCGUGCGGCUCCCUGGGUGGGGCGCUGGCUGCGCGGGAAAGGUGCGUGGGCUCCGUGGUGUCUCUGGAAGGCACCGGGAAGCUGUGAAAAGCCCCGCUCCCACCUGCUUGCCCCCUGCUGAUGAGAUACACCGCUCCCUCCUUGCACGGACCGGCUCAAUGGUGUGAGGUGCUGGGCACCUUGCUGCACUCCGGCGGGGCUUGAGCCCUGGGCACCAGGUACCUCUGGCAGUCUCGGCUUCCUGCCCUGUGUGACUUCUGCCCUUCUGGUGUGGGGACUGCACCAAUACAAGCCACAGCACAGGAAUAACAAGAAGAUGCCCAGUCUAGCUGGGGAGCUCCCUUGGGCAGUUGCAGGGCACAGGUCACCUCAGGAGUUAUCAAUCCAUGAGAGGACCUACCUUCCUUAUCCGAUGACAGCUUAAGAGCCUUUGGUGAGGGACCUUGUCAAAGGCUUUCUGAAAAUCUAAGUACACUAUAUCCACUGGAUCCCCUUUGUCCACAUGCUUGUUGACCCCCUCAAAGAAUUUUACUAGAUUGGCGAGCUGCAAAUGUUUCAACGCUGCCACUAGCAUCUCCAGGCCAGAGGCUAGUGCAGAUCAGAAGGUGAAAAAAAUGCAUGUGCGAUGAAAUGUUCUCUGAGCUCAUGCAGUCCACCCAAACUGAAAGAGCCCAGCAGAAUGCGUGGAGGCAGAGUCCAGGAAAGCACAAAAUGAAUGUGAGGACACAUGGCUGGAGCAACAGGAGAGGUGGCAGCAGUGUGAUGAGAGGAGGGAGGAUGCAAUGCUGAGGCUACUGGAGGAUCAAACUGAUAUGCUCCGGCAUAUGGUUGAGGUGCAAGAAAAGCAGAGACCGCCACUGCAGCCCCUGUGUAAUCAACUGCCCUCCCCAAGUUCCACAGCCUCCUCACCCAAACACCCAAGAAGGUGGGGGGGAGGGAGAGGGCUCCAGGCACCCAACCACAGGACUGCCCAAGCAACAGAAGGCUGGCAUUCAAUAAGUUUUGAAGUGCAAUGUAGGCUUGUCCUUGCCUCCUCCCCCACCCCUUCCAGGCUACCUUGGCAGCUAUCCUCCUAUUUGUGUGACAAAUU
Caretta caretta (loggerhead turtle) is the source of this 1140-nucleotide long non-coding RNA. RefSeq lists it as uncharacterized. The record is from RefSeq and is a predicted model, not a curated record. Lineage: Eukaryota; Metazoa; Chordata; Testudines; Cheloniidae.